UGGGCCCGAGUUUGAUCCUGGCUCAGAACGAACGCUGGCGGCAGGCCUCAAACAUGCAAGUCUAGGGGGUGUAGCAAUACAUCACCGGCGGACGGGUGCGUAACACGUGGGAAUAUACCUUUCGGUACGGAACAACUGAGGGAAACUUCAGCUAAUACCGUAUACGUCCUAACGGAGAAAGAUUUAUCGCCGAAGGAUUAGCCCGCGCUCGAUUAGCUAGUUGGUGAGGUAAUGGCUCACCAAGGCUACGAUCGAUAGCUGUUCUGAGAGGAAGAUCAGCCACACUGGGACUGAGACACGGCCCAGACUCCUACGGGAGGCAGCAGUUGGGAAUCUUGGACAAUGGGGGAAACCCUGAUCCAGCCAUGCCGCGUGAGUGAUGAAGGCCUUCGGGUUGUAAAGCUCUUUUACCCGGGAAGAUAAUGACUGUACCGGGAGAAUAAGCUCCGGCUAACUUCGUGCCAGCAGCCGCGGUAA
RNAcentral lists this ribosomal RNA (477 nucleotides) under uncultured bacterium. Its description in RNAcentral is "bacterial SSU rRNA". It matches the Rfam family "Bacterial small subunit ribosomal RNA", at positions 1 to 523 of the family's 1533-position model. The record is from RNAcentral.